Molecule: transfer RNA, 71 nt
Filed under: Loxodonta africana (African savanna elephant)
Lineage: Eukaryota; Metazoa; Chordata; Mammalia; Proboscidea; Elephantidae
Rfam family: tRNA
About the family: Transfer RNA (tRNA) molecules are approximately 80 nucleotides in length. Their secondary structure includes four short double-helical elements and three loops (D, anti-codon, and T loops).
Source: Rfam by way of RNAcentral
GCAGUGGUGGUUCAGUGAUAGAAUUCUCACCUUCUAUGAGGGAGACCUGGGAUCAAUUUCCGGUCAAUGCA